GACUAGAGUAGGGCGGGACACGUGAAAUCCUGUCUGAACAUGGGGGGACCACCCUCCAAGCCUAAAUACUCGUACAUGACCGAUAGCGAACUAAGUACCGUGAGGGAAAGGUGAAAAGAACCCUAAGUAAGGGAGUGAAAGAGAACCUGAAACCGUACGCCUACAAGCGGUCGGAGCACAUUUACUGUGUGACGGCGUGCCUUUUGCAUAAUGAGCCUACGAGUUACUGUUUCUAGCAAGGUUAAGUGUUUAAGACAUGGAGCCGUAGCGAAAGCGAGUCUGAAUAGGGCGUUUAGUUCGUUUGAGUAGACCCGAAACCGGGUGAUCUAGCCAUGGGCAGGUUGAAGGUACGGUAACACGUACUGAAGGACCGAACCCACGUCUGUUGAA
RNAcentral lists this ribosomal RNA (390 nucleotides) under Oxyrrhis marina. RNAcentral's name for it is "partial Bacterial large subunit ribosomal RNA". It matches the Rfam family "Bacterial large subunit ribosomal RNA", at positions 405 to 793 of the family's 2925-position model. Lineage: Eukaryota; Dinophyceae; Oxyrrhinales; Oxyrrhinaceae. The record is from RNAcentral.